Molecule: ribosomal RNA, 222 nt
Filed under: uncultured bacterium
Lineage: Bacteria
Description: partial 16S ribosomal RNA
Rfam family: Bacterial small subunit ribosomal RNA
Source: RNAcentral
UACAGAGGGUGCGAGCGUUAAUCGGAAUUACUGGGCGUAAAGCGUGCGUAGACGGUUAUUUAAGUCGGGUGUGAAAGCCCCGGGCUCACCUGGGAAUUGCAUUCGAGACUGAAUAGCUAGGUACGGUAGAGGGAAGUGGAAUUCCGGUGUAGCGGUGAAAUGCGUAGAUAUCGGAAGGAACAUCAGUGGCGAAAGCGGCUCACUGGACCAUUACUGACGCUG